AACCGAGUAUUUCUGACGGUAG
Molecule: non-coding RNA, 22 nt
Filed under: Arabidopsis thaliana (thale cress)
Lineage: Eukaryota; Viridiplantae; Streptophyta; Magnoliopsida; Brassicales; Brassicaceae
Source: RNAcentral